Molecule: ribosomal RNA, 339 nt
Filed under: Triticum aestivum (bread wheat)
Lineage: Eukaryota; Viridiplantae; Streptophyta; Magnoliopsida; Poales; Poaceae
Description: partial small subunit ribosomal RNA
Source: RNAcentral
AUGCUUUCGCACCGGGAGGGGGGGGGCGAGAUCCGGAGCAAGGACCCUAAGAAUUUGGAAGAUAUCUCAAGAAAAGGUUUUAGCACCGGUCUCUCAUAUAUGUACUCCAGUUUAUCCGAAGUGUCCCAAUGGUGUAAGACCGUCGACUAUUUGGGAAAAGGGAGGAAAAUCACUCUGAUCUCUAAUUUCGGAGAAAUAAGUGGCUCACAAGGAAUGGAGAGACAGAUUCUCUAUUUGAUCUCAAAGUCCUCAUAUAACACUUCUUCCAGUUGGAUCACUUGUUUGAAAAACAUAAUGCUCACACAUGUUCCACACGGGCAAGGAAGCAUAAUAUCAUGA